GGGUGUCCGGAGAUAUCCGGUGGGGGGUGGGGGAGGUGUUGUGUGGCAGUGAGCCCUCUCGCAAAAGAUUAAGCGGCGGCGGAGACGAUGAAGGUGAUUGGCUCGAGGGAUACACGAAGUCGGGUUGGGCGGGUUGGCACCGGCGGAUCCAGCGGCUUCUGUCGCCGGAGAUGAAGCUGGAGGGGCGAACGCAGGCGAAACAAGGAAUAAGUUACUGUGGGCUGUCAAACUCGUGGCCCAUUGAUCUAGUGUGUUGUUCCUAAUUAUUCAGAGAGUAAAGAAUCUCAUCGUACAAUUACCAUCAUCAAGAUGAAGUGUGUAUGUUCCAAUUGGCGUAUCCCUGUCCAAGCCAUCGGCGCCUCCCAGUGCCCUGCGGCUCCCACAGCGCCACCCAGCAACCCAACCGCGGCUCCAACCGCGGCGGCCGAGACCGGUGGGUCUCCGACGAGCACUACAAUACAUAUGGGCUUCUGUGACAUUUCUUUUAUAUCACUGUAAGUGGUAUUUUCAUCAUAUUUCAUAAUCUAUGACACUUGCGUGACGAAAAUCGGUUCGUCACCUAUACCAUGUAAUAAAAGGUCUUCUGCGACGAAAUCAGAUUUUUUCGUCAUAAAUUUUAUGACAAUUAUUCUAUUGUCACUAAUUUAUGACGCUCAUUUUUUGUCA
This is a long non-coding RNA of Panicum virgatum (switchgrass), 666 nucleotides long. RefSeq lists it as uncharacterized. The record is from RefSeq and is a predicted model, not a curated record. Lineage: Eukaryota; Viridiplantae; Streptophyta; Magnoliopsida; Poales; Poaceae. The transcript has 2 exons.